UGGGGAAUCUUGGACAAUGGGGGCAACCCUGAUCCAGCCAUGCCGCGUGAGUGAUGAAGGCCUUAGGGUCGUAAAGCUCUUUCGCCUGUGAAGAUAAUGACGGUAGCAGGUAAAGAAACCCCGGCUAACUCCGUGCCAGCAGCCGCGGUAAUACGGAGGGGGUUAGCGUUGUUCGGAAUUACUGGGCGUAAAGCGCACGUAGGCGGACCAGAAAGUUGGGGGUGAAAUCCCGGGGGCUCAACCCCGGAACUGCCUCCAAAACUAUUGGUCUAGAGUUCGAGAGAGGUGAGUGGAAUUCCAAGUGUAGAGGUGAAAUUCGUAGAUAUUUGGAGGAACACCAGUGGCGAAGGCGGCUCACUGGCUCGAUACUGACGCUGAGGUGCGAAAGUGUGGGGAGCAAAACAGGAUUAGAUACCCCUGGUAGUCCACACCGUAAAACGAUGAAUGCCAGUCGUCGGGUAGCAUGCUAUUCGGUGACACACCUAACGGA
RNAcentral lists this ribosomal RNA (490 nucleotides) under uncultured bacterium. Its description in RNAcentral is "bacterial SSU rRNA". It matches the Rfam family "Bacterial small subunit ribosomal RNA", at positions 355 to 859 of the family's 1533-position model. The record is from RNAcentral.